GAUAGAGAGAGAGAGAGAGAGAGAGAGAGAGAGAGAGAGUCCGGCUACUAUACUAUCGAUAGUACCAAGCCCUUGGUACUAUUGAGUUUUCUACCGUUAGAUCUACCCUUUGAUCAUUUCCACCCGUUAGAUUAUACUAUUAAACCAACCACCAACUUAACCCUAGGGGACCACUAUCAAUUUAACCGGUGACCACUAUCAUCCUAACCGCACAUUCUUUCAUCCAACGACCAAAAACUCGAUAGUACCAAAGGCUUGGUACUAUUGAUAGUAUAGUAGCAUAAUUCUAUAUAUAUAUAUAUAUAUAUA
Molecule: long non-coding RNA, 309 nt
Filed under: Ananas comosus (pineapple)
Lineage: Eukaryota; Viridiplantae; Streptophyta; Magnoliopsida; Poales; Bromeliaceae
Description: long non-coding RNA (ACOM_LNC039316)
Source: RNAcentral